This 468-nucleotide ribosomal RNA is filed under the name uncultured bacterium. RNAcentral describes it as "partial 16S ribosomal RNA". It matches the Rfam family "Bacterial small subunit ribosomal RNA", at positions 28 to 507 of the family's 1533-position model. The record is from RNAcentral.
GACGAACGCUGGCGGCGUGCUUAACACAUGCAAGUCGAACGGAAAGGCCCUGCUUUUGUGGGGUGCUCGAGUGGCGAACGCGUGAGUAACACGUGAGUAACCUGCCCUUGACUUUGGGAUAACUUCAGGAAACUGGGGCUAAUACCGGAUAGGAGCUCCUGCUGCAUGGUGGGGGUUGGAAAGUUUCGGCGGUUGGGGAUGGACUCGCGGCUUAUCAGCUUGUUGGUGGGGUAGUGGCUUACCAAGGCUUUGACGGGUAGCCGGCCUGAGGGGGUGACCGGCCACAUUGGGACUGAGAUACGGCCCAGACUCCUACGGGAGGCAGCAGUGGGGAAUAUUGCACAAUGGGCGGAAGCCUGAUGCAGCAACGCCGCGUGCGGGAUGACGGCCUUCGGGUUGUAAACCGCUUUCGCCUGUGACGAAGCGUGAGUGACGGUAAUGGGUAAAGAAGCACCGGCUAACUACGUG